Molecule: long non-coding RNA, 580 nt
Organism: Bombus huntii
Lineage: Eukaryota; Metazoa; Arthropoda; Insecta; Hymenoptera; Apidae
Exons: 3
Source: RefSeq, a predicted model, not a curated record
AACGCAGUUGCCGACAUUUUUGUAUAAAGAAGUCAAAGAGCCGCAAAUGAAGAAAGAACUAUAAAUAAAAAAAAAAAAGAAAAAAAGGGAGAGACGAUUCCAUUGACUGGCGAAGGAGGACUCUAUAAACGCUAGACCUUUCGAAGGAUGGUGGGGAGGGCAUUGGCCGAGCACGUUAGGGGGUUGGUUUCAAUAUGAGCCAGCUGGCGCCUCACACGGGGAUCAUCGCUGAUACCUAUGUUCCAUUUCGGUGGAAGCCGGCUUUACGUCCCACGUUUUGUGUACGCACCCUGGAAAAAAGGCAACGGUCUCGCGGAUGAUGCCUGGCAAAACGACGACGUCUGGGAAACCGUAACUGCUGGGUAAUCUACGUUCGAGGGGUUGACUUUACUGCGGAGGAUACGUGGGAGAUGCUUUUCUGAGAAUCCACAAGAAAUAUUUUAUUACAAACUGCGGUUCAGCGAAACUUUGCAAAUUUACUGAUGCAUUGGUAGACUACAUAGCAAUCGUGAAAUUUUUCUGGACAACCGGAAGCGUUUCUAUAGAUUAAGGAAGCUACUGUGAUCGCGUUUUGUCUGUA